UCUUCCCUCUUCCCUCCUGCUUAACACAUGCAAGUCAACUUGAACUUCGGUUUGGGUGGCGGACGGGUGAGUAACGCGUAAAGAACUUGCCUCACAGUUAGGGACAACAUUUGGAAACGAAUGCUAAUACCUGAUAUUAUGAUUUUAGGGCAUCCUAGAAUUAUGAAAGCUAUAUGCGCUGUGAGAGAGCUUUGCGUCCCAUUAGCUAGUUGGAGAGGUAACGGCUCACCAAGGCGAUGAUGGGUAGCCGGCCUGAGAGGGUGAACGGCCACAAGGGGACUGAGACACGGCCCUUACGCCUACGGGAGGCAGCAGUGGGGAAUAUUGGUCAAUGGACCAAGAGUCUGAUCCAGCAAUUCUGUGUGCACGAUGAAGUUUUUCGGGAUGUAAAGUGCUUUCAGUUGGGAAGAAAAAAAUGACGAUACCAACAGAAGAAGGGACGGCUAAAUACGUG
This 454-nucleotide ribosomal RNA is filed under the name uncultured bacterium. RNAcentral's name for it is "partial 16S ribosomal RNA". It matches the Rfam family "Bacterial small subunit ribosomal RNA", at positions 39 to 507 of the family's 1533-position model. The record is from RNAcentral.